AAUCAAUGAAGCAAUAGACAUCGCUGUUUAUUUUUGUGUAUGAAUUUUGUGGUUGUUGCUGGAGUAAUAUUUAUUCCAUUAUGCUCAUUUGAUCCUUUCUGGAUUCUUAAUGGAGCAUGAGUUCUAGCAUGUCGAGUGUUCUUCGUGCAUCUAGUAGCAAGCAGAGCUCUGGAUCCAGCAAUUUUGGGUUUGAAAUGGUUUGUAAUGAAAACAGUCAGCAGAAAUUAGUUUCCUCUGGCACAGCAAGUUGGGAGUAUGAGAGAGGUAUAGAUGCCCCAGCUAUCAGUUUUAGAGGUUGCCAUGGAGACAAAUGAUUAGUACAGUUAUUGCACUUUUUAAAGCAAAAUAUGAUGAGGAGGUGCACCUCUUCAAAAAGUACAUAUUUUUGUUAGAAUGCAGAAUAAAAGCUAGUAUAUUCUGUGAAAGCUUGUGCAUUAUUGUUUCAGAGUGUUGAACCAGAGAGAAGAUAAAGGUUUAGAGAGCAUUUAGGUUUUUUAUUUUGUUCUGUUUUUAUUAUUUUAUGCUAUUAUUAGUUAAUAAUUUUUGAUGUUUUAAUUAUUUGCAUUGAGAUUUUUUU
This is a long non-coding RNA of Argiope bruennichi, 577 nucleotides long. RefSeq lists it as uncharacterized. The transcript is spliced from 4 exons. The record is from RefSeq and is a predicted model, not a curated record. Lineage: Eukaryota; Metazoa; Arthropoda; Arachnida; Araneae; Araneidae.